UACAGAGGUCUCAAGCGUUGUUCGGAUUCAUUGGGCGUAAAGGGCUCGUAGGCGGUUUGGCAAGUCGGAUGUGAAAUCUCCAGGCUCAACCUGGAGGGGUCAUUCGAAACUGCUAUGACUAGAGUUCGGUAGAGGAGUGUGGAAUUCCUGGUGGAGCGGUGAAAUGCGCAGAGAUCAGGAAGAACACCCGUGGCGAAGGCGGUUCUCUGGGACGGUACUGACGCUGAGACGCGAAAGCGUGGGGAGCGAACAGG
RNAcentral lists this ribosomal RNA (254 nucleotides) under uncultured bacterium. Its description in RNAcentral is "partial 16S ribosomal RNA". It matches the Rfam family "Bacterial small subunit ribosomal RNA", at positions 524 to 776 of the family's 1533-position model. The record is from RNAcentral.